UUAAGCGACUAAGCGUACACGGUGGAUGCCCUGGCAGUCAGAGGCGAUGAAGGACGUGCUAAUCUGCGAUAAGCGUCGGUAAGGUGAUAUGAACCGUUAUAACCGGCGAUUUCCGAAUGGGGAAACCCAGUGUGUUUCGACACACUAUCAUUAACUGAAUCCAUAGGUUAAUGAGGCGAACCGGGGGAACUGAAACAUCUAAGUACCCCGAGGAAAAGAAAUCAACCGAGAUUCCCCCAGUAGCGGCGAGCGAACGGGGAGCAGCCCAGAGCCUGAAUCAGUGUGUGUGUUAGUGGAAGCGUCUGGAAAGGCGCGCGAUACAGGGUGACAGCCCCGUACACAAAAAUGCACAUGCUGUGAGCUCGAUGAGUAGGGCGGGACACGUGGUAUCCUGUCUGAAUAUGGGGGGACCAUCCUCCAAGGCUAAAUACUCCUGACUGACCGAUAGUGAACCAGUACCGUGAGGGAAAGGCGAAAAGAACCCCGGCGAGGGGAGUGAAAAAGAACCUGAAACCGUGUACGUACAAGCAGUGGGAGCACGCUUAGGCGUGUGACUGCGUACCUUUUGUAUAAUGGGUCAGCGACUUAUAUUCUGUAGCAAGGUUAACCGAAUAGGGGAGCCGAAGGGAAACCGAGUCUUAACUGGGCGUUAAGUUGCAGGGUAUAGACCCGAAACCCGGUGAUCUAGCCAUGGGCAGGUUGAAGGUUGGGUAACACUAACUGGAGGACCGAACCGACUAAUGUUGAAAAAUUAGCGGAUGACUUGUGGCUGGGGGUGAAAGGCCAAUCAAACCGGGAGAUAGCUGGUUCUCCCCGAAAGCUAUUUAGGUAGCGCCUCGUGAAUUCAUCUCCGGGGGUAGAGCACUGUUUCGGCAAGGGGGUCAUCCCGACUUACCAACCCGAUGCAAACUGCGAAUACCGGAGAAUGUUAUCACGGGAGACACACGGCGGGUGCUAACGUCCGUCGUGAAGAGGGAAACAACCCAGACCGCCAGCUAAGGUCCCAAAGUCAUGGUUAAGUGGGAAACGAUGUGGGAAGGCCCAGACAGCCAGGAUGUUGGCUUAGAAGCAGCCAUCAUUUAAAGAAAGCGUAAUAGCUCACUGGUCGAGUCGGCCUGCGCGGAAGAUGUAACGGGGCUAAACCAUGCACCGAAGCUGCGGCAGCGACGCUGAUGCGUUGUUGGGUAGGGGAGCGUUCUGUAAGCCUGUGAAGGUGUACUGUGAGGUAUGCUGGAGGUAUCAGAAGUGCGAAUGCUGACAUAAGUAACGAUAAAGCGGGUGAAAAGCCCGCUCGCCGGAAGACCAAGGGUUCCUGUCCAACGUUAAUCGGGGCAGGGUGAGUCGACCCCUAAGGCGAGGCCGAAAGGCGUAGUCGAUGGGAAACAGGUUAAUAUUCCUGUACUUGGUGUUACUGCGAAGGGGGGACGGAGAAGGCUAUGUUGGCCGGGCGACGGUUGUCCCGGUUUAAGCGUGUAGGCUGGUUUUCCAGGCAAAUCCGGAAAAUCAAGGCUGAGGCGUGAUGACGAGGCACUACGGUGCUGAAGCAACAAAUGCCCUGCUUCCAGGAAAAGCCUCUAAGCAUCAGGUAACAUCAAAUCGUACCCCAAACCGACACAGGUGGUCAGGUAGAGAAUACCAAGGCGCUUGAGAGAACUCGGGUGAAGGAACUAGGCAAAAUGGUGCCGUAACUUCGGGAGAAGGCACGCUGAUAUGUAGGUGAAGCGACUUGCGGAUGGAGCUGAAAUCAGUCGAAGAUACCAGCUGGCUGCAACUGUUUAUUAAAAACACAGCACUGUGCAAACACGAAAGUGGACGUAUACGGUGUGACGCCUGCCCGGUGCCGGAAGGUUAAUUGAUGGGGUUAGCCGCAAGGCGAAGCUCUUGAUCGAAGCCCCGGUAAACGGCGGCCGUAACUAUAACGGUCCUAAGGUAGCGAAAUUCCUUGUCGGGUAAGUUCCGACCUGCACGAAUGGCGUAAUGAUGGCCAGGCUGUCUCCACCCGAGACUCAGUGAAAUUGAACUCGCUGUGAAGAUGCAGUGUACCCGCGGCAAGACGGAAAGACCCCGUGAACCUUUACUAUAGCUUGACACUGAACAUUGAGCCUUGAUGUGUAGGAUAGGUGGGAGGCUUAGAAGUGUGGACGCCAGUCUGCAUGGAGCCGACCUUGAAAUACCACCCUUUAAUGUUUGAUGUUCUAACGUUGACCCGUAAUCCGGGUUGCGGACAGUGUCUGGUGGGUAGUUUGACUGGGGCGGUCUCCUCCUAAAGAGUAACGGAGGAGCACGAAGGUUGGCUAAUCCUGGUCGGACAUCAGGAGGUUAGUGCAAUGGCAUAAGCCAGCUUGACUGCGAGCGUGACGGCGCGAGCAGGUGCGAAAGCAGGUCAUAGUGAUCCGGUGGUUCUGAAUGGAAGGGCCAUCGCUCAACGGAUAAAAGGUACUCCGGGGAUAACAGGCUGAUACCGCCCAAGAGUUCAUAUCGACGGCGGUGUUUGGCACCUCGAUGUCGGCUCAUCACAUCCUGGGGCUGAAGUAGGUCCCAAGGGUAUGGCUGUUCGCCAUUUAAAGUGGUACGCGAGCUGGGUUUAGAACGUCGUGAGACAGUUCGGUCCCUAUCUGCCGUGGGCGCUGGAGAACUGAGGGGGGCUGCUCCUAGUACGAGAGGACCGGAGUGGACGCAUCACUGGUGUUCGGGUUGUCAUGCCAAUGGCACUGCCCGGUAGCUAAAUGCGGAAGAGAUAAGUGCUGAAAGCAUCUAAGCACGAAACUUGCCCCGAGAUGAGUUCUCCCUGACCCCUUGAGAGUCCUGAAGGAACGUUGAAGACGACGACGUUGAUAGGCCGGGUGUGUAAGCGCAGCGAUGCGUUGAGCUAACCGGUACUAAUGAACCGUGAGGCUUAACCUU
RNAcentral lists this ribosomal RNA (2904 nucleotides) under Escherichia coli KTE155. RNAcentral describes it as "bacterial LSU rRNA". It matches the Rfam family "Bacterial large subunit ribosomal RNA". The record is from RNAcentral. Lineage: Bacteria; Pseudomonadati; Pseudomonadota; Gammaproteobacteria; Enterobacterales; Enterobacteriaceae.